UAAGGAAUAUUGCACAAUGGGGGAAACCCUGAUGCAGCAACGCCGCGUGAGUGAUGAAGGCCUUCGGGUUGUAAAACUCUUUUCUGAGGGAGGAGGAAGGACAGUACCUUAGGAAUAAGUCUCGGCUAACUACGUGCCAGCAGCCGCGGUAAAACGUAGGAGGCGAGCGUUAUCCGGAUUUACUGGGCGUAAAGGGCAAGUAGGCGGUGGUUCAAGUUGGGCGUAACAGAUCCUGGCUUAACUGGGAGAGGUCGUUCAAAACUGGAUCACUAGAGGGCAGGAGAGGGGAGCGGAAUUCCUAGUGUAGCGGUGGAAUGCUCAGAUAUUAGGAAGAACACCAGUGGCGAAAGCGGCUUUCUGGCCUGCACCUGACGCUGAAGGGCGAAAGCUAGGGGAGCGAACGG
Molecule: ribosomal RNA, 404 nt
Filed under: uncultured bacterium
Lineage: Bacteria
Description: bacterial SSU rRNA
Rfam family: Bacterial small subunit ribosomal RNA
Source: RNAcentral